Long non-coding RNA from Sander lucioperca (pikeperch), 257 nucleotides. RefSeq lists it as uncharacterized. The record is from RefSeq and is a predicted model, not a curated record. The transcript is spliced from 3 exons. NCBI's taxonomy places the organism in Eukaryota, Metazoa, Chordata, Actinopteri, Perciformes, Percidae.
AACCGGUCUGGAUUCAUAGUUUCACGCAGAGCACCCUGCAGGGGCCUGACUUACUGGACAGCCUCUCUGACAGCAGGGGAUGCCAGAUUUUCCACGAAACUAGAAGUCAUUUCCUCCAUUUUCUUCCAGCAACAAAAGACGCAAAUGCAUACACACUUACAAAUGAUGUGUUGUUAUCACUUCAGCAAGAGGUCAGACGUGGGUGUUACUUCAUCUGUGGUCACUUGUUCAGGAGGUUGAAAUCAAUGCCAAUAAGA